Molecule: ribosomal RNA, 484 nt
Filed under: uncultured bacterium
Lineage: Bacteria
Description: bacterial SSU rRNA
Rfam family: Bacterial small subunit ribosomal RNA
Source: RNAcentral
AGAGUUUGAUCAUGGCUCAGGAUGAACGCUAGCGGCAGGCCUAAUACAUGCAAGUCAAGGGGUAGCAAUACACCGGCGGACGGGUGCGUAACGCGUACACAACGUACCUCAGAGCGGGGGAUAGCAUUGGGAAACUGGUGGUAAAACCCCAUGGUGUUGUUGAAUGGCAUCAUUUAACAACUAAAGGUUACACUCUGAGAUCGGUGUGCGUCUGAUUAGCUAGUUGGUGGGGUAACGGCCCACCAAGGCGACGAUCAGUAGGGGGUGUGAGAGCAUGACCCCCCACAUGGGUACUGAGACACGGACCCAACUCCUACGGGAGGCAGCAGUAAGGAAUAUUGGACAAUGGGCGAAAGCCUGAUCCAGCCAUGCCGCGUGAAGGAUGAAGGCGCUCAGCGUUGUAAACUUCUUUUGGACGGGAACAAUAUCCCCGACUUGUCGGGGCUUGAGGGUACCGUCAGAAUAAGCACCGGCUAACUCCGUG